Molecule: transfer RNA, 74 nt
Filed under: Hyphomicrobium sulfonivorans
Lineage: Bacteria; Pseudomonadati; Pseudomonadota; Alphaproteobacteria; Hyphomicrobiales; Hyphomicrobiaceae
Rfam family: tRNA
About the family: Transfer RNA (tRNA) molecules are approximately 80 nucleotides in length. Their secondary structure includes four short double-helical elements and three loops (D, anti-codon, and T loops).
Source: Rfam by way of RNAcentral
CGGGGCGUAGCUCAGCCUGGUAGAGCACCUGCUUUGGGAGCAGGGGGUCGCGAGUUCGAAUCCCGCCGCCCCGA